GAGAUGAUGCAAGGCUCACUUUGUAGGCUUCUUGUUCAAUUAGAUACCACUCGGUCACGAUGGAGGUGAAGUUGCUCAGGAAGCGGACGCGCUGAGCGCCGCCGGCUGCAGCCGCUGCUCUCUCCACACGGUAUUGGGGCACGGCGCCGACCAGCACAAUGAGCACGGACUGACACGCCACGUACACCUGCAGCAGCACCAGCAGGGCGGUGAGACGCCGCUGCGCGCCGCCGAAUUCCCCCGCCGCGCCGAAGGCCUCCUCCAGCCCCG
RNAcentral lists this long non-coding RNA (270 nucleotides) under Gallus gallus (chicken). The record is from RNAcentral. Lineage: Eukaryota; Metazoa; Chordata; Aves; Galliformes; Phasianidae.